This 441-nucleotide ribosomal RNA is filed under the name uncultured bacterium. Its description in RNAcentral is "bacterial SSU rRNA". It matches the Rfam family "Bacterial small subunit ribosomal RNA", at positions 8 to 483 of the family's 1533-position model. The record is from RNAcentral.
AGAGUUUGAUCCUGGCUCAGAAUCAACGCUGGCGGCGCGCCUAACACAUGCAAGUCGAACGAGAAAGCCCGCAAGGGUGAGUAAAGUGGCGUACGGGUGAGUAACACGUGGAUAAUCUACCCUCUAGUGGGGAAUACCGUUGGGAAACCGACGACAAUACCGCAUAAGCUCGAGAGAGGAAAGCAGCAAUGCGCUGGAGGAGGAGUCCGCGGCUGAUUAGCUAGUUGGUGAGGUAAUGGCUCACCAAGGCUUAGAUCAGUAGCCGGCCUGAGAGGGCACACGGCCACACUGGCACUGAAACACGGGCCAGACUCCUACGGGAGGCAGCAGUGGGGAAUCUUGCACAAUGGGGGAAACCCUGAUGCAGCGACGCCGCGUGAGCGAUGAAGCCCUUCGGGGUGUAAAGCUCUUUCGGCAGGGAAGAUAAUGACGGUACCUGCA